RNAcentral lists this ribosomal RNA (204 nucleotides) under Clostridioides difficile. RNAcentral's name for it is "partial 16S ribosomal RNA". It matches the Rfam family "Bacterial small subunit ribosomal RNA", at positions 1339 to 1533 of the family's 1533-position model. Lineage: Bacteria; Bacillati; Bacillota; Clostridia; Peptostreptococcales; Peptostreptococcaceae. The record is from RNAcentral.
UAAUCGCAGAUCAGAAUGCUGCGGUGAAUGCGUUCCCGGGUCUUGUACACACCGCCCGUCACACCACGGGAGUUGGAGACGCCCGAAGCCGACUAUCUAACCUUUUGGAAGAAGUCGUCGAAGGUGGAAUCAAUAACUGGGGUGAAGUCGUAACAAGGUAGCCGUAUCGGAAGGUGCGGCUGGAUCACCUCCUUUCUAAGGAGA